GACGAACGCUGGCGGCGUGCCUAAUACAUGCAAGUCGAGCGAUGAAGAUUGGUGCUUGCACCAAUGUGAAGAGCAGCGAACGGGUGAGUAACGCGUGGGGAAUCUGCCUUUGAGCGGGGGACAACAAUUGGAAACGAAUGCUAAUACCGCAUAACAACUUUAAACAUAAGUUUUAAGUUUGAAAGAUGCAAUUGCAUCAAGUAAAGAAGAUCUCGAGUCGUAUUAGGUAGUUGGGUAGGUAAAGGCUCACCAAGGGGAUGCAACAUAGCCGACCUGAGUGGGGGAGCGGCCAACUCGGAACUGGGACAGGGCCCAAACCCCUACGGGAGGCAGCAGUACGGGAUCGUCAGCAAUGGACGAAAGUCUGCCCGGACAACGCCGCGUGAGUGAAGAAGGGUAUCGGAUCAUAAAACUCUGUUUGUAGAGAAGGACGGUGGUGAGAGUUGAGAGCUCAUCAAGUGACGGUAACUACAGAGAAAGGAACGGCUAACUACGUG
This 497-nucleotide ribosomal RNA is filed under the name uncultured bacterium. RNAcentral describes it as "partial 16S ribosomal RNA". It matches the Rfam family "Bacterial small subunit ribosomal RNA", at positions 28 to 507 of the family's 1533-position model. The record is from RNAcentral.